AAACAUCUAAAUGAUAUUACAUGGGAGAUCUUUGGGCCCACCAUACGUACACGAUGGAAUGCCCAAAAUCAAUAUUUAAAAGUUGAGCUCAUUAACCAUUUAGUUGUGUUGUUCGGUAAUAACACAUUCAACUGAACCAAGGUCCUUAAGAAAGAUGGUACUUAUCUAAAUUAUGUGAGGGACCAAUAUAGGUCACAUUUAGAGAAGAACAAAAAAUACGAGUGUCCCCCCAUGAUUUCAGAGAGGGAGUGGAAGGACCUAGUGUCAAAUGAAAAGGAGAAGGCUGAAAAGAAAAAAGGAAAGACACCAACGGGCUAAGGAAGAUUGUCCGACACAUCGAAGGCAACAAAGGCAAGAGUAGAAAAACAUGGGCAGCACAAACUUGGUUGUGGUGGUUAUAUGAAAUUAGUUGCACGAAUUGGCUUUGAAUUCAAGAGAGUGCCCAUAGAAGAUGACCUGAAGAUUGCCUUCCAGCAAGGCUAUGUAGCUAUGGUUGAAUGCCUAAGACUCUUGACAGGGCAAACACAAGCUUCCACUGCAUCUGACGCGCAAAUAAAUAAAAUCAAUGAAGUUUAUUUUAAAUUGAAUACUUGUGUAAUCUAUUCAAUAUUAAUUUACACCAUAAAGUAAUUAUGUGCCUAUUUAUUUUAAACAGGCAAGCAAUGAUAAUACUACACAUGACAUUGGAAUGCAGCUUGGUGAGAGUGGAGCACAACCUACA
Molecule: long non-coding RNA, 721 nt
Organism: Cryptomeria japonica (Japanese cedar)
Lineage: Eukaryota; Viridiplantae; Streptophyta; Pinopsida; Cupressales; Cupressaceae
Exons: 3
Source: RefSeq, a predicted model, not a curated record